UACAGAGGUCCCAAGCGUUGUUCGGAUUUAUUGGGCGUAAAGGGUGCGUAGGCGGCGGAGUAAGUUGGGUGUGAAAUCCCGGGGCUUAACCUCGGAAUUGCAUUCAAUACUGCUUCGCUAGAGUACUGGAGAGGAGGCUGGAAUUUACGGUGUAGCAGUGAAAUGCGUAGAUAUCGUAAGGAAGGCCGGUGGCGAAAGCGAGCCUCUGGACAGUUACUGACGCUGAUGCACGAAGGCCAGGGGAGCAAACGGG
This 253-nucleotide ribosomal RNA is filed under the name uncultured bacterium. RNAcentral's name for it is "partial 16S ribosomal RNA". It matches the Rfam family "Bacterial small subunit ribosomal RNA", at positions 524 to 776 of the family's 1533-position model. The record is from RNAcentral.